This 302-nucleotide ribosomal RNA is filed under the name Salmonella enterica subsp. enterica serovar Wernigerode. RNAcentral's name for it is "partial 23S ribosomal RNA". It matches the Rfam family "Bacterial large subunit ribosomal RNA", at positions 468 to 672 of the family's 2925-position model. Lineage: Bacteria; Pseudomonadati; Pseudomonadota; Gammaproteobacteria; Enterobacterales; Enterobacteriaceae. The record is from RNAcentral.
AAAUACUCCUGACUGACCGAUAGUGAACCAGUACCGUGAGGGAAAGGCGAAAAGAACCCCGGCGAGGGGAGUGAAAAGAACCUGAAACCGUGUACGUACAAGCAGUGGGAGCCCCACCACUAAGCCAGUGGUGAACUCCACAUACGCAUCCUUUGCUGAGGAUAAGGUUAACGGAGCGAAAGCGACGUUCAACCUCAAAAGAAGCAGAGGGGGCUUAGUGGUGGGGUGACUGCGUACCUUUUGUAUAAUGGGUCAGCGACUUAUAUUCUGUAGCAAGGUUAACCGUAUAGGGGAGCCGGAGG